CUCCCGGAUGUUAGCGGCGGACGGGUGAGUAACACGUGGGUAACCUGCCUGUAAGACUGGGAUAACUCCGGGAAACCGGAGCUAAUACCGGAUAGUUCCUUGAACCGCAUGGUUCAAGGAUGAAAGACGGUUUCGGCUGUCACUUACAGAUGGACCCGCGGCGCAUUAGCUAGUUGGUGAGGUAACGGCUCACCAAGGCGACGAUGCGUAGCCGACCUGAGAGGGUGAUCGGCCACACUGGGACUGAGACACGGCCCAGACUCCUACGGGAGGCAGCAGUAGGGAAUCUUCCGCAAUGGACGAAAGUCUGACGGAGCAACGCCGCGUGAGUGAUGAAGGUUUUCGGAUCGUAAAGCUCUGUUGUUAGGGAAGAACAAGUGCAAGAGUAACUGCUUGCACCUUGACGGUACCUAACCAGAAAGCCACGGCUAACUACGUGCCAGCAGCCGCGGUAAUACGUAGGUGGCAAGCGUUGUCCGGAAUUAUUGGGCGUAAAGGGCUCGCAGGCGGUUUCUUAAGUCUGAUGUGAAAGCCCCCGGCUCAACCGGGGAGGGUCAUUGGAAACUGGGAAACUUGAGUGCAGAAGAGGAGAGUGGAAUUCCACGUGUAGCGGUGAAAUGCGUAGAGAUGUGGAGGAACACCAGUGGCGAAGGCGACUCUCUGGUCUGUAACUGACGCUGAGGAGCGAAAGCGUGGGGAGCGAACAGGAUUAGAUACCCUGGUAGUCCACGCCGUAAACGAUGAGUGCUAAGUGUUAGGGGGUUUCCGCCCCUUAGUGCUGCAGCUAACGCAUUAAGCACUCCGCCUGGGGAGUACGGUCGCAAGACUGAAACUCAAAGGAAUUGACGGGGGCCCGCACAAGCGGUGGAGCAUGUGGUUUAAUUCGAAUCAACGCGAAGAACCUUACCAGGUCUUGACAUCCUCUGACAACCCUAGAGAUAGGGCUUUCCCUUCGGGGACAGAGUGACAGGUGGUGCAUGGUUGUCGUCAGCUCGUGUCGUGAGAUGUUGGGUUAAGUCCCGCAACGAGCGCAACCCUUGAUCUUAGUUGCCAGCAUUCAGUUGGGCACUCUAAGGUGACUGCCGGUGACAAACCGGAGGAAGGUGGGGAUGACGUCAAAUCAUCAUGCCCCUUAUGACCUGGGCUACACACGUGCUACAAUGGACAGAACAAAGGGCUGCGAGACCGCAAGGUUUAGCCAAUCCCACAAAUCUGUUCUCAGUUCGGAUCGCAGUCUGCAACUCGACUGCGUGAAGCUGGAAUCGCUAGUAAUCGCGGAUCAGCAUGCCGCGGUGAAUACGUUCCCGGGCCUUGUACACACCGCCCGUCACACCACGAGAGUUUGCAACACCCGAAGUC
Molecule: ribosomal RNA, 1359 nt
Filed under: Bacillus pumilus
Lineage: Bacteria; Bacillati; Bacillota; Bacilli; Caryophanales; Bacillaceae
Description: bacterial SSU rRNA
Rfam family: Bacterial small subunit ribosomal RNA
Source: RNAcentral